UACGAGGGGGGCAAGCGUUGUUCGGAAUUACUGGGCGUAAAGGGCUCGUAGGCGGCCAACUAAGUCGGAUGUGAAAUCCCCAGGCUUAACCUGGGAACUGCAUCCGAUACUGGAUGGCUUGAAUUCGGGAGAGGGAUGCAGAAUUCCUGGUGUAGAGGUGAAAUUCGUAGAUAUCAGGAGGAACACCAGUGGCGAAGGCGGCUUCCUGGACACCAACUGACGCUGAGACGCGAAAGCGUGGGGAGCAAACAGG
This 253-nucleotide ribosomal RNA is filed under the name uncultured bacterium. RNAcentral's name for it is "partial 16S ribosomal RNA". It matches the Rfam family "Bacterial small subunit ribosomal RNA", at positions 524 to 776 of the family's 1533-position model. The record is from RNAcentral.